This is a long non-coding RNA of Armigeres subalbatus, 442 nucleotides long. RefSeq lists it as uncharacterized. NCBI's taxonomy places the organism in Eukaryota, Metazoa, Arthropoda, Insecta, Diptera, Culicidae. The transcript is spliced from 3 exons. The record is from RefSeq and is a predicted model, not a curated record.
UCUAAAAUUGUCAAAACACUUAUUUCAAAUUAUUAUUUUUUCUGUUCUGACAGUGUCAUUUGCUGUGACAAUGACAGUGGCAUUAUCGCUUGCCGGCAGAUUUUAUGCAGUUUUGAUUUUUUGUCAUAAAUUUAUUAACAAUUUAGCAACUAUACCAUUUUAGUGGUGGUGCUGGUGCCUUAGUAAAUCCUAACGACACAGGGCCAUAUCUUUUAUCAUCGGAUUUAAAAUGCUCUUCAGUUUUGACGAGAAACAUCGAUAUGCAAAAUGGUUUCGCAGAAAAUAUAUUCCUGGGCCUUCUGACUUACUUAUCGCUUGGAACCGAAAGGCAAAAAUUUCUUCUAGAUAGUAACGAUGUGGACCCCGGAUUAGGCGUUGCAUAACAUGCAUAACAUCAUAAUGAACGAAAUAAGAACAUUUGAAAAUAAAAACUAAAACCAUU